GCCACGCCGCGUGAGCGAAGACGGAUUUCGGGUUGGUAACCUCUUUUUGAGGGAAGAAAAUGACGGUACGUGACUAAGAUUGCCGGCUAACUACGAGCCGGCCGCCGCGGUUUACGAGCAGCCGCCGCGGUAAU
RNAcentral lists this ribosomal RNA (134 nucleotides) under uncultured bacterium. Its description in RNAcentral is "partial 16S ribosomal RNA". The record is from RNAcentral.